Molecule: non-coding RNA, 741 nt
Organism: Momordica charantia (bitter melon)
Lineage: Eukaryota; Viridiplantae; Streptophyta; Magnoliopsida; Cucurbitales; Cucurbitaceae
Source: RefSeq, a predicted model, not a curated record
UACAUUGACGACGGGGAUAAUGAAAAGAGAUGAAAUCAAAAUUUGGAGCUAGGGCUUGUAUCUCCAUCAACCAGCUACCCUCUUCCCCCAUGGUUCGUAAAUCUCCUUGGAUUAAACGGAUUGCCAUCAAAGAAUCCGACUCCACUUCAAUGCAUGGGUAAGCCGAUGAAGCAGCAAAUCUCAAGCCUUCCAAUAUUYCACGAAUUUCAACAAAUAGAGGCGACAACUUGUAAGGGAGACACGUUGAUUUUGCGGCAACGAGAGUACCGGAAGAAUCUCGGAUGAUACAUCCGAGACUUAUUGAAUCACUCCUACAAGCAGCAUUUGUAUUUAAUUUUAGAGAUAGAUUUGAUGGAGGACUCCAUKGAUGAGCAAUCGAAGAAGACGUCUGAUUUCGAGGAGGGGAUGUUUGAUUUCCACGAGUUGCAGAGUUUCGGUCGUUCCAUAUAGCCAAACAGUCUGCAGGAAAUCGAGAUAGAGAKGGGUAGAGAAUCUGCCAAAUUUUUUGCACUCGCUUACAAUGGUAGAAAGAAUGGGUGGUAGUUUUGCUUGAAGCUCUGCAGAGUUUGCAAACAGGUAAAGCAUCGAUUCCUCUGUUGUGCAAAUUGUAGGCUGUUGGAAUGUGUUCAUGAGYAGCUCUCCAUAUAAAAAUCUUUAUUUUUGAAGGAACAGAGAGGUUCCAAAUAGAUUUCCAAUGUGCACCUUGAAAAUCAUGACUAGUUGAUGCUACAUUACAUUUUA